AUGGCUCAGGAUGAACGCUGGCGGCGUGCUUAAUACAUGCAAGUCGAACGAAGUUAUCUCGCUGAGGAGAGCUUGCUCAAUCUGAGAUAACUUAGUGGCGGACGGGUGAGUAACGCGUGGGUAACCUGCCUUACACAGGGGGAUAACAGUUAGAAAUGACUGCUAAUACCGCAUAAGCGCACAGUUUCGCAUGAAACAGUGUGAAAAGAUUUAUCGGUGUAAGAUGGACCCGCGUCUGAUUAGCUAGUUGGUGAGGUAACGGCCCACCAAGGCGACGAUCAGUAGCCGGCCUGAGAGGGUGAACGGCCACAUUGGGACUGAGACACGGCCCAAACUCCUACGGGAGGCAGCAGUAGGGAAUAUUGGACAAUGGGGGAAACCCUGAUCCCAGCGACGCCGCGUGAGUGAAGAAGUAUUUCGGUACGUAAAGCUCUAUCAGCAGGGAAGAAAAUGACGGUACCUGACUAAGAAGCACCGGCUAAAUACGUGCCAGCCGCCGC
This 500-nucleotide ribosomal RNA is filed under the name uncultured bacterium. RNAcentral's name for it is "bacterial SSU rRNA". It matches the Rfam family "Bacterial small subunit ribosomal RNA", at positions 19 to 518 of the family's 1533-position model. The record is from RNAcentral.